ACGAUACCUUGGAUUGAUAGAAAGAUUAUUUUACUGUAUAACAAGGAGAACUCAAGUCUAGUUCAGUGUCUUGAGAAUGAGGAGUGUUGGGAGUCUGAAGCUGAAGCAGAUGAUGUCACUGUUGGAGCAUGAACUAAACCAAAGUAAUCAGUUAAUGUCAAUGCAUCAUACCAUCAGCGAGAAGAAGGAUGUGAACUACCGGACUGAUGAUGAAGUAUAUAACAAUUUGGUGGUGUGGAGACAAAGCUGCAUCGCACAAUUGGUGAGGUUGACAGAGAAACUGAUAGUAUCAAGAAUGAGAUAAAUCACCACACUAAGUAUGGUCGUCAGGGAACCAAGCAGGCUGUGGACUGUGAUGCCAGGGGUACUCAUUGGUUGCAACUCCGGCCAGAAGUCAAUCGAGACGGCUAAGAUUAUUGCUGCAGUUUGGGUGAGGGGAGAGCACCAGGGUUUGAGUCUCUAACUGGAAUCUGGUUGAAGCUGUUCAUGCAUUAACCAAUAACUGAGAUUGUGCUGCUGGAAUUGGAUUUGAAAUCUCAACAAUCUCAACUGAGGUCAAUGAUGCAGACAUCUCUGAUAUUACAGUAGCAGUGAAGGCGUACCAUGGACCCCCAAAGUACUCCUCAGCCAUCGCUCAGAAAACUACUGUAGCUGAGAAGGCCACUGCAGCAACAGGAUCCUAACUAUCUCAACCAAAGUUGAGGAUGCAGACAUCUCUGAUAUUACAGUAGCAGUGAAGGCGUACCAUGGACCCCCAAAGUACUCCUCAGCCAUCGCUCAGAAAACUACUGUAGCUGAGAAGGCCACUGCACCAACAGGAUCCUAACUAUCUCAACCAAAGUUGAGGAUGCAGACAUCUCUGAUAUUACAGUAGCAGUGAAGGCGUACCAUGGACCCCCAAAGUACUCCUCAGCCAUUGCUCAGAAAACUACUGUAGCUGAGAAGGCCACUGCAGCAACAGGAUCCUAACUAUCUCAACCAAAGUUGAGGAUGUAGACACCUCUGAUAUUACAGUAGCAGUGAAGCAGUGAGUAUUUAAUAUUGAGUAUUGAGUGUUGAUCCCAUGUACGCCACAUGCAGCUACUGUCUGCAUCACUCACCCUAGACCUAUUUAUAGGACUCUAUCUCUGUACACAGAUACAGAGUCUUAUUUUGGGGCGGAAAAUUUUCAAGGCCUCAUAAGUCAAAUCUUACUUGCAUUAAGCCACUAAUUUCAACAGAUUCACAUUCUAUGGCGGCAUACAUUUUUCUGUGGUGGGUUUUGGUCCGCAUAUGUUUCUCACAAAUCUGGCAUUUUCGUGAAAUAAUGCAGCUGCCAAUGCUAAGAAAUUCCCGUUUGAUCGUACUCUCUCACAGUGUUGUCUGCUGCCGUGCGUACGCGUAUACAUUGGCGUGCAAGACACAAGAAGAGACACAUGAAUUCUUGGUCACCGUCAUAGAUAUAGAAUAGAAUAACUAGAUCAGCCGCGUUUUACAGCCAUUUCUUGAAUACUAGAAGAUUGAAAUACAUGUACUCUUCCAAAAACCAAUGAUGUACCAUUCUUUUAUGAUGUUUCUUUAAUACUAGAGGAUUGGAAAAAACGUACUCUUCCAAUAACCAAUGAUGUACAAUCCCUUUAUGAUAUGUUUCUUGAAUACUAGAGGAUUGGAAUGGUACUCUUCCAAUAACUAAAGAUUUACCAUCCCGUAAAGAUAUAAUUCUUGAAAACAAGAGGACUGGAAUGAACACACUCUUCCAUUAACCAAUGAUGUACAACCCCUUUAAGAUAUGUUUCUUAAAUACUAGAGGAUUGGAAUGAAUGUAUUCUUCUAAUAACCAAAUGUUUCAUGAAAUCUAGAAAAUUUUACUUACUCCCCCCCCCCCUUCCAUUAAAAACCUUGUACAUAAUCAGUCUUUAUGUAUGCUGAUAUUUAUGUAUUAUUGGAAAGGCGUGUUUAUAUUUUCAAUGAACAUUUUGAGGGUGUGAAGUAAUUAAAUGUUGGUUUAUUUACACACUAGGUAACAAUUGUUUGUGUACUGUAGCUGUUGUUCUAAAAAGGGCCCUUUGUUAGCCUGAAUGUUCUCUGACUUUAUCUCUGGCUUAUUUCAAAUCUAUUGAGGAUAGAUCUUGAACCAAUUGCAUUAAGCCUGUAAGCAUGAACAGUUGCCAAUCACAGAAAAAGCUUGCUUAACAGAAACUGGUUACCAGCCAAAAUUCCACAAAGUUUCGUUGCUGGUGUUAAUCACUGGUGUUAAUGUUUCCUUCAGGGCCAAACUUCAUAAAGCUGUUGAGCAGAAAAACUGCUAGACAAAAUUGUUUGCUAAGGAUAAAUUGAGUGGGGCAACAGGCUGUCUAAACCUAUUUCUAAUGUAACUUUGGCUGGUGAUGUUUUUUUGCUAAGCAAUACUUUUCUGUUCUUAGCUAAUUUUGUUGUGCCUUGCUCACUUUUGAAUUAAUUGUACUGUAGUUUUAAUGUCGCUGUUACUAGUAACUACCACUACCUUUCGGGUAAAGGUUAAAUCAAUAAGCAAUUAAUCAUGACACAACCAUUUUAUUUGUCUUUAAUUCAAACCAGAGUAACCAAUAACAAGACAAACCAGACUUAAUGAAAUCAGCAUAAGAACUGUCAUUGUCACUGUGGGCGUCGGGGACCCGACUGUUGCAGCAAAGUCAAUAAUGUCAAGAUGUCUGUAUAAACAUUCUCAGAAUGCAUGACUUUCCGAGCUGACGAAGUGUUCAACUGGGAGGAGGAGAAAUGUGAACAUAAAACCAGAUGUUUAUAUCUCAGUGUGAGGCAAGGAAGGUCAAGUGAAAGAGAGCAAUUGGAGUACAUCAGAUAGGAACACGGGACGGCAAAGAAUGAUGGAAGGUGUUUCGAUUAGGGCUCAGUGGAAGAUU
This is an RNA transcript of Asterias rubens (European starfish), 2879 nucleotides long. RefSeq lists it as uncharacterized. Lineage: Eukaryota; Metazoa; Echinodermata; Asteroidea; Forcipulatida; Asteriidae. The transcript has 6 exons. The record is from RefSeq and is a predicted model, not a curated record.